GAUCAUGGCUCAGGAUGAACGCUAGCUACAGGCUUAACACAUGCAAGUCGAGGGGCAGCAUGAACUUAGCUUGCUAAGUUUGAUGGCGACCGGCGCACGGGCGAGUAACACGUAUCCAACCUUCCGUUUACCCAGGGAUAGCCUUUCGAAAGAAAGAUUAAUACCUGAUAGUAUGGUGAGAUUGCAUGAUAACACCAUUAAAGAUUUAUUGGUAAACGAUGGGGAUGCGUUCCAUUAGGUAG
RNAcentral lists this ribosomal RNA (242 nucleotides) under uncultured bacterium. Its description in RNAcentral is "partial 16S ribosomal RNA". It matches the Rfam family "Bacterial small subunit ribosomal RNA", at positions 15 to 248 of the family's 1533-position model. The record is from RNAcentral.